Non-coding RNA from Danio rerio (zebrafish), 1155 nucleotides. The record is from RefSeq and is a predicted model, not a curated record. Lineage: Eukaryota; Metazoa; Chordata; Actinopteri; Cypriniformes; Danionidae.
UUUAAACUCUUGCGCGAAAAAAACAACAACAAUUGGUGCAGAAAUGGCGGCCGGUUAUAUUCAAAGGUUCCCCUCAAAGCGGUGUUUCGAACGUAAUUUUAAGAGUUAUGUACAUGACACGAUGACAAAGUUCGUCGUUUGGACAAAAGACAGGUCUUUCGGUGUGGAGGAUCCCAAACUAGGAUCCAAAUGUAUUGUAUGGGAACUCCAAUACGUUCCUUUUGACGGGAUACCCUUUAUGUUGGUGGGAAGGAUGGUCUACUCCUGUCACCGAGGCGCAGACAAGCACAAACACCAAAAACAGAAGAGACAGGAACAGCUGGUAUGUCGAUAAAUAGUUACGUACCUUGAUGACAGCUCAGACCAUAGUAAUAAAGAGAAGCGACGUCGUCUCCGGGUCUCCAAGAAACUGGACUGUCCAGCCAGAAUAUACGUGGUCCAUUUAAUCAGAUUCCCUGAUUACAAGAUACCUGAAAACAUUCCUAAACAGAGGAAGGCGAGCGCUUGCCAGCUAAGACGUGCCAUAGCAUCAAACCCAUCUGCAGUUAAGUUUGAUGAGCAGUAUGUUGCUUACUUCCCAGGGGUUGAUGAGCACAAAAAACAUACUGUGGUUGGAGAGGCCACAGAGAUCCAAGAGACAGUGGACACUACAGUGCAGAAACCUAUUGAGACAUUAGUUGAUGAUGGCAACACACCAACCCAAGACGACGACACCAACAGAAUAAAACAGAAACAACAAAAGUGUGAGAGCUUACUUCGAGAGAUUUCUGAACUUACUUCUGAUCUACAUGAUGAGCUGUUUUUGGACUCGUUGACUGUUCGAUUAAAGGACCUUUUGGAGGACGUGAGGUGUCAUACGUCUCAUGAUGCCACACUUCCUGUGCCUUACACGCCUCCAUGCAAAAAACGGAAAUGCCUUGAACCCCUUAAUGCAAUCCCCGAAAAUCAUCCAUCCACUGCUGUGGAAGAUUUGGCCGUCAUGGAAAAGCAGUGAAGGCAAACUUCAAGAUUUUUUAUUUUUUUUGCUUGUAGAGUUAUUUAAUACUUGCAUGUCAUUUGUUGUUGUGCCUUGUGUCAAUUCUUUACAAUUUGUUUGCCUUUGGGUAAAAUAAAUCCAAACUUAUAAAAAAAAAUGAAUUUGUCUGAAAAAAUGAA